UACGUAGGGUGCAAGCGUUAAUCGGAAUUACUGGGCGUAAAGCGUGCGCAGGCGGUUGUGUAAGCCAGAUGUGAAAUCCCCGGGCUCAACCUGGGAACUGCAUUUGUGACUGCACGGCUGGAGUGCGGCAGAGGGGGAUGGAAUUCCGCGUGUAGCAGUGAAAUGCGUAGAUAUGCGGAGGAACACCGAUGGCGAAGGCGGUUCUCUGGGCCUUACCUGACGCUGAGGAGCGAAAGCGUGGGGAGCGAACAGG
This 253-nucleotide ribosomal RNA is filed under the name uncultured bacterium. RNAcentral's name for it is "partial 16S ribosomal RNA". It matches the Rfam family "Bacterial small subunit ribosomal RNA", at positions 524 to 776 of the family's 1533-position model. The record is from RNAcentral.